Molecule: ribosomal RNA, 616 nt
Filed under: Candidatus Omnitrophota bacterium
Lineage: Bacteria; Pseudomonadati; Candidatus Omnitrophota
Description: bacterial SSU rRNA
Rfam family: Bacterial small subunit ribosomal RNA
Source: RNAcentral
UUUCCAGAGGGUUUGAUCCUGGCUCAGGGUGAACGCUGGCGGUGUGCCUAACACAUGCAAGUCGUGCGACGAACUCUUCCUGAUUGAUUUUAUAAUCAAUCAGGAAGGGGGAAAGCGGCGGACGGGUGAGUAACACUUGGGUAACCUACCCUCAGGACCGGGAUAACCUGCCGAAAGGCGGGCUAAUACCGGAUAAUCUUCUCAGGUGAGAUUCCUGAGAAGCAAAGUCCUACCGAAGAGGUAGGGCACCUGAGGAUGGGCCUGAGUCCUAUCAGGUAGUUGGUGGGGUAAUGGCCCACCAAGCCUAAGACGGGUAGCUGGUCUGAGAGGACGGCCAGCCACAGGGGGAUUGAGACACGGCCCCCACUCCUACGGGAGGCAGCAGUGGGGAAUCUUGGGCAAUGCCCGAAAGGGUGACCCAGCGACACCGCGUGGGCGAUGACGGCCUUCGGGUCGUAAAGCCCUGUCAGGAGGGAAGAAUCCGCCUUUUGGCGGAUGACGGUACCUCCAGAGGAAGCCCCGGCUAACUCCGUGCCAGCAGCCGCGGUAAUACGGAGGGGGCAAGCGUUACCCGGAUUGACUGGGUGUAAAGGGUCCGCAGGCGGUUAGAUGUGUC